RNAcentral lists this long non-coding RNA (468 nucleotides) under Lytechinus variegatus (green sea urchin). RNAcentral describes it as "uncharacterized LOC121411754, transcript variant X3". Lineage: Eukaryota; Metazoa; Echinodermata; Echinoidea; Temnopleuroida; Toxopneustidae. The record is from RNAcentral.
GGAAAAUUUCGAAAAUAAGCUGGGCUGGGCAAGCAAGUUUCCAGUGACCGCAAACCAGAUGGGUGGCAGUACCAACAGAGGUAGAAAUGAUGUAGCUGGCCAGACCUUCCAAGGAGAAUGGCUGUACCCACCAAAUCCCAAGUACAUUAAUUACAGCUUAUCAGAUGGUUGACAUGGCCAACAGAGGAAGAAAUGAGGUAGCGGGACCUUCCUACCAAAUUCCCAAUGCAAAUCAGGUGGGUGCAUGACGGCGCCAUCAAAGGAAGAAAUGACAUUUCUCAAGCAAGUUCUGUGGAGAUUCUGGCGAGAUUCGCUCUUCAUGUCAUGGAUGCUAUGCUCUCUGCUUUACUCAUUGGGACCAGAGUUCACAUUGCGAGGAUGACAUGUAAAGUGGAAAUCGCAAAUUGAGAGGCCUCCACUGCUCAAAGCUUUUCAAUUCAGACCUCAUCCAACACUUUUGAAUCCUGC